GGGUCAGUAGGUUGGUCGUGCCACCGGUACGUACUGGUCUCACUGAUUCCUCCUUCCUGAAGGACCGUAAUGCCAUUAAUUUGGUGUUGCGGGGAAACAGGACUGUUACUUUGAAAAAAUUAGGGUGUUUAAAGCAAGCUAACGCUUGAAUACAUUAGCAUGGAAUAAUGAAAUAGGACGAUCGAUCCUAUUUUGUUGGUCUCUAGGAUUGACGUA
This 216-nucleotide ribosomal RNA is filed under the name Glomeromycotina sp. RNAcentral describes it as "partial small subunit ribosomal RNA". The stretch from base 40 to 216 matches the Rfam family "Eukaryotic small subunit ribosomal RNA", at positions 686 to 864 of the family's 1831-position model. The record is from RNAcentral. Lineage: Eukaryota; Fungi; Glomeromycota.